Molecule: unclassified non-coding RNA, 1639 nt
Filed under: Leishmania donovani
Lineage: Eukaryota; Euglenozoa; Kinetoplastea; Trypanosomatida; Trypanosomatidae
Description: gene:unknown
Source: RNAcentral
CAAGCAUUCACUAUUUUUUUGUUCUCCGUCGCACGAUCUCUUCCCUUCACUCUCCCGCACUUCCAUUCUGAUGGCGAACGAACGAAAAGGCCCUUCAGCAGCCUCUUCCCUUCCCAGUGUUCGUCUUUCCCCCUCCCCAACGUACUCUCUCGCACCUCUCCUCCUCCUUUCUCCUCUUUGCCUCUUCCUGUCGCUGGCGACAUCGCCACUGUUUCACUGUGCAGCUCCCCAUCUACCCCCUCCCCCUUCCUUGGGUGAGGCCCCUCUUCUCCCCUUUCCUUUGUGGUGGUUUUCUCUCACACAUUCAUUGGCGGAAAGGAAACGCCUCAGCCUAUCAUAAGCCCAGUCUGUCUGUCUCUCCUCCCCCUUCGUGGCUUCUUAUUCCCUCGCCGCUUGCUUCGUGUGUGUGUGUGUGUGUUGUCUUGUGAUUAUUCUGCCCUCUUCCUAUCACCGCUCUCUCGCUGCUGUGUUAUACACCUUUAGUAGCAUCCCCCUCUGCGCAUCUCGCGCUUUCAAUGUGAGCGUGUGCGCGGCAAGGCCGACAUGCUUUGUCUUUCUUGAAGGGAGGUGUGGGGGAGGGGGGUGUUGUUGCCCUCUUUUCGUUUGUAGUUUCCAAGCCAUGUUCAGCCACGGCGAAGGGAACCAAACGCAGGAAAUGAGGCCGUUCUCGCUGAGUAGGUGUGCGUGCGCGCCUGAUUAUCCUUUUGUUGUUGCUGCUGCACAUUUUCUGUGCAUGAUUCACUGUUGUAUUUUGUUGACACUUGAGUCGUAAUUACUUCACACAUUUUUUUUUGCCCCCCCCCUCCCCUUUGCUUCCCCUCAUUCGCCCUCUAUCGCGUCGCUGUCCGUGCAUGUUACCCUUCUGUGUGUGUGUGUGUGUAUCAUCUCUUUUCUAUCGGUCUUCCCCACCCGAGGUCACGGUAAGAAACCAGCAGGAGAUGCUGGCCACGCUGCUUCAAGUAGCGAUGUUCGUGAGCGCUCCUUACUCAGCGUACCUCGUACUGCUACCCGUCGCUAAACAACGCAGCAGAGCCCCGCUGCGUCGGUGCGUAUAUUUUUUUCUCGUGGUGGCUGCGCUGUUCUCUUAUCAGCUCGUCUUGGUCAUCUGCUUUUGCUCUCAUCUUUUUUUUUUAGUGUUGUUGGUGGCCCGAGCGGUGACUUUCCCGACAGUCGUGACGAAGGGAAAUUCUGGUGAACAAGCAGAGCUGAAACGGCCUUGAAAGGGGCUCAGCAAUGAACAUCCGUUACUACCUGUGCUCACCUUCAGCUCUCUCACACACUCAUUCCGUCCCCUCGGAUAGCCGCAUGGCUUGUUUUCCUUUCCACGUUAAUCUUUGUUGUCUAUGGAGCCGCCUGCCGCGCCCGCAUUCGCCUCGAGUUGCAGGUGAGGGCCUUUCCCUACCACUUCGUGUGUAGAGCUGCCACGCCACAAGCCAGAACAAGUUGCCAAGCGUCCAGAGGUGCUCCGCGGGCAUUCAAGGGUGUGUGCACAGCUGUUCUCCGAUGACCAGGUGAAACCCCCAACACAGUUUUUUUUCUCCCCCCUCCUGGGUGCAUGUUGGGGGAUAUGUGUGUAUGCCUACCCUCUCGAACCCCUCUUUAACUCUUUUCUUCCCCCUUCCUCAUUUCCGCUGAGAAG